UCUGGAGUUUGGCAGAGGGGGGUGGAAUUCCACGUGUAGCAGUGAAAUGCGUAGAGAUGUGGAGGAACACCGAUGGCGAAGGCAGCCCCCUGGGCCAAUACUGACGCUCAUGCACGAAAGCGUGGGGAGCAAACAGGAUUAGAUACCCUGGUAGUCCACGCCCUAAACGAUGUCAACUAGGUGUUGGGAGGGUUAAACCUUUUAGUGCCGUAGCUAAC
This 218-nucleotide ribosomal RNA is filed under the name uncultured bacterium. RNAcentral describes it as "partial 16S ribosomal RNA". It matches the Rfam family "Bacterial small subunit ribosomal RNA", at positions 640 to 856 of the family's 1533-position model. The record is from RNAcentral.